UACAGAGGUGGCAAGCGUUGUUCGGAAUUACUGGGCGUAAAGGGCGCGUAGGCGGUUCGAUAAGUCCCGUGUGAAAUCCCUCGGCUCAACUGAGGAACUGCACGGGAAACUGACGGGCUUGAGUUCGGGAGAGGGAAGCGGAAUUCCGGGUGUAGCGGUGAAAUGCGUAGAUAUCUGGAGGAACACCGGUGGCGAAGGCGGCGUCCUGGACCAACACUGACACUGAUGAGCGAAAGCCAGGGGAGCAAACGGG
Molecule: ribosomal RNA, 253 nt
Filed under: uncultured bacterium
Lineage: Bacteria
Description: partial 16S ribosomal RNA
Rfam family: Bacterial small subunit ribosomal RNA
Source: RNAcentral